This 301-nucleotide ribosomal RNA is filed under the name uncultured bacterium. RNAcentral's name for it is "partial 16S ribosomal RNA". It matches the Rfam family "Bacterial small subunit ribosomal RNA", at positions 509 to 807 of the family's 1533-position model. The record is from RNAcentral.
CAGCAGCCGCGGUAAAACGUAGGUGGCAAGCGUUGUCCGGAAUUAUUGGGCGUAAAGGGCUCGCAGGCGGUUUCUUAAGUCUGAUGUGAAAGCCCCCGGCUCUACCGGGGAGGGUCAUUGGAAACUGGGAAACUUGAGUGCAGAAGAGGAGAGUGGAAUUCCACGUGUAGCGGUGAAAUGCGUAGAGAUGUGGAGGAACACCAGUGGCGAAGGCGACUCUCUGGUCUGUAACUGACGCUGAGGAGCGAAAGCGUGGGGAGCGAACAGGAUUAGAUACCCCGGUAGUCCCUGUCUCUUAUAC